This 210-nucleotide long non-coding RNA is filed under the name Linum usitatissimum (flax). RNAcentral's name for it is "long non-coding RNA (LUSI_LNC000119)". The record is from RNAcentral. Lineage: Eukaryota; Viridiplantae; Streptophyta; Magnoliopsida; Malpighiales; Linaceae.
UUAUCAUUCUAGGAAGAGAAGUCUCUUGUAGUCUAUCUGUGCUUCUGUGUUUGAAUUCUUCAUGCAAAGUUCUUUUUAUUUAGUUGGUUUUGUUUCCUUGACUGCUUGUAAGCUCCUACGGGUGACAAAUUCAAAGCUGCGCUGAGAUGGGGUGAUAUUAACAUCGUUUCUCAGAAAUGGCUUGAUCAGUCCAUUGCUAGAAGAGGUAAC